RNAcentral lists this ribosomal RNA (507 nucleotides) under uncultured organism. RNAcentral describes it as "SSU rRNA". It matches the Rfam family "Bacterial small subunit ribosomal RNA", at positions 16 to 509 of the family's 1533-position model. The record is from RNAcentral.
AUCCUGGCUCAGGACGAACGCUGGCGGCGUGCCUAACACAUGCAAGUCGAGCGGGGACAUACGACGGACAGGAAGUUUUCGGAUGGAAUGGAAGAUGUAUGUUCUAGCGGCGGACGGGUGAGUAACGCGUGAGCAACCUGUCCCUUACAGGGGGAUAACACAGCGAAAGCUGUACUAAUACCGCAUAAGACCACAGAGAGACAUCUCACAGGGGUCAAAGGAGCAAUCCGGUAAGGGGUGGGCUCGCGUCCGAUUAGAUAGUUGGUGAGGUAACGGCCCACCAAGUCAACGAUCGGUAGCCGACCUGAGAGGGUGAUCGGCCACAUUGGGACUGAGACACGGCCCAAACUCCUACGGGAGGCAGCAGUGGGGAAUAUUGGGCAAUGGGCGCAAGCCUGACCCAGCAACGCCGCGUGAGGGAAGAAGGUCUUCGGAUUGUAAACCUCUGUCCUAUGUGACGAAGGAAGUGACGGUAGCAUAGGAGGAAGCCCCGGCUAACUACGUGCC